RNAcentral lists this ribosomal RNA (253 nucleotides) under uncultured bacterium. Its description in RNAcentral is "partial 16S ribosomal RNA". It matches the Rfam family "Bacterial small subunit ribosomal RNA", at positions 524 to 776 of the family's 1533-position model. The record is from RNAcentral.
UACGUAGGGGGCAAGCGUUGUCCGGAUUUAUUGGGCGUAAAGAGCGUGUAGGCGGCCAUACAGGUCAGCUGUGAAAACUCGAGGCUCAACCUCGAGACGUCGGUUGAAACCGUAUGGCUAGAGUCCGGAAGAGGAGAGUGGAAAUUCCCGGUGUAGCGGUGAAAUGCGCAGAUAUCGGAAGAACACCCGUGGCGAAGGCGGCUCUCUGGGACGGUACUGACGCUGAGACGCGAAAGCGUGGGGAGCGAACAGG